UACAGAGGUCCCGAGCGUUGUUCGGAUUCACUGGGCGUAAAGGGUGCGUAGGUGGUGAGGAAAGUCGGAUGUGAAAUCUCCGGGCUUAACCCGGAAACUGCAUUGGAAACUACCUUGCUAGAGGUUUUGAGGGGGGACUGGAAUUCUCGGUGUAGCAGUGAAAUGCGUAGAUAUCGAGAGGAACACCAGUGGCGAAGGCGAGUCCCCUGGAAAACAACCUGACACUGAAGGCACGAAAGCUAGGGGAGCAAACAGG
RNAcentral lists this ribosomal RNA (256 nucleotides) under uncultured bacterium. Its description in RNAcentral is "partial 16S ribosomal RNA". It matches the Rfam family "Bacterial small subunit ribosomal RNA", at positions 524 to 776 of the family's 1533-position model. The record is from RNAcentral.